This 253-nucleotide ribosomal RNA is filed under the name uncultured bacterium. RNAcentral describes it as "partial 16S ribosomal RNA". It matches the Rfam family "Bacterial small subunit ribosomal RNA", at positions 524 to 776 of the family's 1533-position model. The record is from RNAcentral.
UACGGAGGGGGCGAGCGUUAUUCGGAAUUAUUGGGCGUAAAGAGCGUGUAGGCGGCUUGUUAAGUCUUGCGUGAAAUCUCGGGGCUCAACCCCGAGCGGUCGUGAGAAACUGGCAGGCUAGAGUGCGGGAGAGGAGAGUGGAAUUCCUGGUGUAGCGGUGAAAUGCGCAGAUAUCAGGAAGAACACCCGUGGCGAAGGCGGCUCUCUGGAACGCAACUGACGCUGAGACGCGAAAGCGUGGGGAGCAAACAGG